CCAAAUAUAUGCUGAGAUUUUAGAGAAGAAACACUCUCCCAAAGUUUAUUCAAGUGCCCACUUCUUCUACUUCAUCUUUAAAACCUUCGAUUCUUCAUAUAUUCCGAUAUAUACAAGGUUUUAAACCCCGAAGCUUCGUUCCACCCAACCAAGCCUCGCUCAUCUUAGCAUUUUCAUAAACCACUCUUUUCAACCUCCCGAAGGGCUGCCCAAAUUCGUUCGUGUGCUUAAAGUCGUAUCGAACCUCCGACGAAUUUCUCCGGCGAACUUUCGUGCAUCAAUCGUUGAGGUGAAGUGAAGUGAGGUGAUCUUCGUUCUAAGACCCAAGUCUUUGACGUAUUGACGGGGAGUUGAUAGUCAUCGCACCGUGAAGAAGAGGAAAGACCCAAGACCUAAUACCUAAGAUCCAAGACCGCCGAAAGGUUUAGAAGUACAAAGACCACUGGAGGUGCAACGACUUUGAGGAAGUAACGAGGAUAGUUACGUUCCGAGACAAGUCUUGUUAUUUACAUUUAUAGUGAGGAGGUAACGAAGAGUUACGCUCCAAGAUAUAUAUUUGUAAAGGCUUCUCCGCCUACUGUAAAGGAGUUCUUUAUAGUAGAGAAAAUCUCGAGUCCGGGGAGGAGCUCGGGGACUGGACUAGGGGUGAGUGGACUCCAAGGGUUGAGUUAGCCACCGCGAACCAGGAUAAAAUCGCUCGUGUGAUAUUUUCCUUUUCUUUUCUUACACUUCCGCACGUAACUGCCAAUACUCUCGAUACAAGUUCUAAAGAAGGGGUGAAAACUUUUUAAAACGACAUAAAUAUUUUUAAUUGGU
Long non-coding RNA from Daucus carota subsp. sativus, 816 nucleotides. RefSeq lists it as uncharacterized. The record is from RefSeq and is a predicted model, not a curated record. The transcript is spliced from 2 exons. NCBI's taxonomy places the organism in Eukaryota, Viridiplantae, Streptophyta, Magnoliopsida, Apiales, Apiaceae.